UGGGGGCCCUUAUUGAGCGCUUCAUUGGCCAUUGCGCUCCCACGGGUUAGGGAGGGAAAAUCGGAUGGGGUUGGUUCACCUCACUGUGCCACAGCAACCCCUGGGCAGGCACCUGUCGAGACUGGGCAGAGACCAGCCAAGCUGACUGUAACUGUUUCCUUCCAGGGUUCAAUAGCUUGGCCACAUUUGCUGCUUAGGUUCGUCAGGUGAAACGUUGCGAUUGGCUAGACUCUGUGGUCAGUAUGUGGGUUGCUGCAGUGAGGGGACACGGAAAUUGGGCAUUUCAAAUUAGGGAGAAAUAUUGGGCAUUUCAAAAUAGGGUGAAUAUCCAGGCCUUUCAAAUUGGGAAAAGAAUAUUUAGGCAUUUGAAAUCGGCAGAGGUAAAUAACUAAUUGGGCACACUAAAUCAAACAUUGUCAUGAAUCCAGGCAUUUUAUGAAUCCUUUAUUCCCAAAAGGAAACCCACCAUUAACCAACACACCUAUCAGAAACCUGGACAACAAAGACAAUCAGAACCCACUGGCAGUUCUGAAAGCACCCAUGGCGGAUUGUGCAGAAAAGAAGACAUCUUCUUUUUAGCUGCCAUCCAUGGGUAUCAAUAGGAACCCAGUUUAGCCUCUUUGUUGUCCACUGGCAGUCCUGACUCACCCAUGGUGGAAUGUGCAGAGAAGAAGCAGCCUUCUUUUUUGCUGCCAUCUAUGGGUGGAAACAGGGAUCAAGUGGAGCUUCUUCCAUUGGAUGAGGAGCUGGAUCACACAGCUGAUAACCCACUGACAGUCCUGACUCACCCAUGGUGGAAUGUGCAGAGAAGAAGCAGCCUUCUUUUUUGCUGCCAUCUAUGGGUGGAAACAGGGAUCAAGUGGAGCUUCUUCCAUUGGAUGAGGAGCUGAAUCAUAGAGCUGAUAAUUGUCCUGCAUCGCUAUGGACACAGCAACGAUCAUCUAUUGCAUUGUAUCUGAUGUGAUGGACACAUAACCUCCUAAACCAGUGAGAACUGUGGCCCUCAAGCACAGUCUUGAGCUUUACCAGCUCUACAGAUUCUUUUAUUGCUGGUUUGUCAA
Acipenser ruthenus (sterlet) is the source of this 1061-nucleotide long non-coding RNA. RefSeq lists it as uncharacterized. The record is from RefSeq and is a predicted model, not a curated record. NCBI's taxonomy places the organism in Eukaryota, Metazoa, Chordata, Actinopteri, Acipenseriformes, Acipenseridae. The transcript is spliced from 4 exons.